This 72-nucleotide transfer RNA is filed under the name Spongospora subterranea. Its description in RNAcentral is "tRNA-Met". It matches the Rfam family "tRNA". Rfam says of the family: Transfer RNA (tRNA) molecules are approximately 80 nucleotides in length. Their secondary structure includes four short double-helical elements and three loops (D, anti-codon, and T loops). Lineage: Eukaryota; Endomyxa; Phytomyxea; Plasmodiophorida; Plasmodiophoridae. The record is from RNAcentral.
GGGCUUAUAGCUUAAUGGUAAAGCAUACUACUCAUAAUGGUUUCAGUAUAGGUUCGAUUCCUAUUAAGCCUA